This 253-nucleotide ribosomal RNA is filed under the name uncultured bacterium. RNAcentral's name for it is "partial 16S ribosomal RNA". It matches the Rfam family "Bacterial small subunit ribosomal RNA", at positions 524 to 776 of the family's 1533-position model. The record is from RNAcentral.
UACGGAGGGAGCUAGCGUUAUUCGGAAUUACUGGGCGUAAAGCGCACGUAGGCGGCUUUGUAAGUUAGAGGUGAAAGCCUGGGGCUCAACCCCAGAAUUGCCUUUAAGACUGCAUCGCUUGAAUCCAGGAGAGGUGAGUGGAAUUCCGAGUGUAGAGGUGAAAUUCGUAGAUAUUCGGAAGAACACCAGUGGCGAAGGCGGCUCACUGGACUGGUAUUGACGCUGAGGUGCGAAAGCGUGGGGGGCAAACAGG